This 73-nucleotide transfer RNA is filed under the name Candidatus Bathyarchaeota archaeon. RNAcentral describes it as "tRNA-Val". It matches the Rfam family "tRNA". From Rfam's summary of the family: Transfer RNA (tRNA) molecules are approximately 80 nucleotides in length. Their secondary structure includes four short double-helical elements and three loops (D, anti-codon, and T loops). Further hydrogen bonds mediate the characteristic L-shaped molecular structure. tRNAs have two regions of fundamental functional importance: the anti-codon, which is responsible for specific mRNA codon recognition, and the 3' end, to which the tRNAs corresponding amino acid is attached (by aminoacyl-tRNA synthetases). tRNAs cope with the degeneracy of the genetic code in two manners: having more than one tRNA (with a specific anti-codon) for a particular amino acid; and 'wobble' base-pairing, i.e. permitting non-standard base-pairing at the 3rd anti-codon position. Lineage: Archaea; Thermoproteati; Candidatus Bathyarchaeota. The record is from RNAcentral.
GGGCCGGUCGUCCAGUGGAUAGGAUAUCCGCCUGACACGCGGAAGGUCGAGGGUUCGAUCCCCUCCCGGCCCA